RNAcentral lists this ribosomal RNA (304 nucleotides) under uncultured bacterium. Its description in RNAcentral is "partial 16S ribosomal RNA". It matches the Rfam family "Bacterial small subunit ribosomal RNA", at positions 506 to 807 of the family's 1533-position model. The record is from RNAcentral.
CAGCAGCCGCCGCGGUAAAACGGAGGGAGCUAGCGUUAUUCGGAAUUACUGGGCGUAAAGCGCACGUAGGCGGCUUUGUAAGUAAGAGGUGAAAGCCCGGAGCUCAACUCCGGAACUGCCUUUUAGACUGCAUCGCUUGAAUCCAGGAGAGGUGAGUGGAAUUCCGAGUGUAGAGGUGAAAUUCGUAGAUAUCAAGAGGAACACCGGUGGCGAAGGCGGCUUCCUGGAAGAUACCUGACUCUGAAACACGAAAGCCAGGGGAGCGAAUGGGAUUAGAUACCCGGGUAGUCCCUGUCUCUUAUAC